AAAAUUUCUUGUCUUGUAAUCAGAUACUAAAUGUAUGAAUUGUGAAAAAUGUGAAUAUCCAUGCUUUCUUGCAUUGUUAUCCUUGCUUUCUCAUCCUCAUCUUUUGUAUUUGUUGCUUGAUAACAAUCUUUGUCUGAUCUCUUUUCUCGUGUAAUGGUAUCUCUGUCUAUUCUUACUUUAUUGUAAAGAAAACGCUUGAUCUCUAUUGCUCCAAUUUUGAAAUUGUAGUUUUGAGAAAGAAGAUAAUGCUAUUAAUUCAGGCAUAUUUAUCAUUGGCCACCUUUUUGUCAUACGUAUCUGAUUGGUUCCAUUUACUACUAAUGCUGUGAAAGAAAUUGGUAAAUU
Molecule: unclassified non-coding RNA, 345 nt
Filed under: Hevea brasiliensis (rubber tree)
Lineage: Eukaryota; Viridiplantae; Streptophyta; Magnoliopsida; Malpighiales; Euphorbiaceae
Source: RNAcentral